Leptidea sinapis is the source of this 600-nucleotide long non-coding RNA. RefSeq lists it as uncharacterized. The transcript is spliced from 3 exons. NCBI's taxonomy places the organism in Eukaryota, Metazoa, Arthropoda, Insecta, Lepidoptera, Pieridae. The record is from RefSeq and is a predicted model, not a curated record.
UAAUAACAAGUAACCAUAAAAAUUAAAUCUUAAUUUUGUGUGGAUCAUUUCGGUUACAGUUUGUUUAUUUUUAUGAUUGGUGUUUCUUAAUACAUAACUAUUAUCAAUAGUAUAUCAAUAACAAUUAUUGAAUGUUAAUUUGGCAAUUAUUUUAUGAAAAUGCUACGCACUAAAAUUCAUAUAGCUUUAAGCGCUAUUGGUACUCUGUUUGGCUUAUCGGCCUUUAUAUGUUUUUGCAUUGUUUAUGCAAAUGUUGAAGCAGGAAUGUGGGCGUUAUUAUCCGUCCACUGUUUUAUGGUGUUGGGGAGUCGGUUGUUCGCCGAAAUCGUGGUUGGCGCGGCCGUGGCCUUGAUACUCUUUUACAAUUGAAACUCCACCCGGACCCUCCCUGGAUGCCUCCCAAACUAGGACAAAUCCGGGGAAACCCAGACGGAUGGCAACCCUACUAUUAUGUAUACAUGCAUCACUAGCUCUUAUGCUACAUUUCCAUUAUUUAAAAGAAUCUCUUCACGUAAAUUUCUCAAGAAAGUCACUGCAAUACAUUGGUGAUUUUGGAAUGGUUGGAUUUGUUUCUGGAUUGGCCCUCACACUAUUCUAUGC